GACGAACGCUGGCGGCGUGCCUAAUACAUGCAAGUAGAACGCUGAAGCAGGAGCUUGCUUCUCUGCAUGAGUUGCGAACGGGUGAGUAACACGUAGGUAACCUGCCCUGUAGCGGGGGAUAACUUUUGGAAACGAUAGCUAAUACCGCAUAAUAGUUGAUGUCGCAUGACAUUUGCUUAAAAGGUGCAAUUGCUUCACUACCAGAUGCACCUUCGUCGUAUUAGCUUGUUGUUGAGGCAACUGCCCACCAAGGCAACGAUACAUAACCGACCUGAGAGGGGGAUCAGCCAGACUGGGAACGUGACAGGGCCCAGCCGACUUCGGGAGGCACCAGGAGGGAAUCGUCAGCAAGGGAUGGAAGACUGAACAAGCAACGCCGCGGCAGUGAACAAGGAUUUCGCAUCGGGAAGCUCGGUCGUCAGGGAAGAAAGAGUGUGAGAGUGGAAAGAAGACCCUGUGACGGUAACUGAUCAGAAAGGGACGGCUAACUACGUG
RNAcentral lists this ribosomal RNA (495 nucleotides) under uncultured bacterium. Its description in RNAcentral is "partial 16S ribosomal RNA". It matches the Rfam family "Bacterial small subunit ribosomal RNA", at positions 28 to 507 of the family's 1533-position model. The record is from RNAcentral.